GCCAGAUGUGGUGGUGCAAACCUGUAAUCCCAACAACUCAGGAGGCUGAGGCAGGAGGAUCACAAGUACAAAGCCAACCUCAGCAAUUGAAUGAGGCCCUUAACAAUUCAAGGAGACCCUGCCUCUA
This 127-nucleotide small RNA is filed under the name Marmota monax (woodchuck). The record is from RNAcentral. Lineage: Eukaryota; Metazoa; Chordata; Mammalia; Rodentia; Sciuridae.